Molecule: ribosomal RNA, 380 nt
Filed under: uncultured bacterium
Lineage: Bacteria
Description: bacterial SSU rRNA
Rfam family: Bacterial small subunit ribosomal RNA
Source: RNAcentral
AAAUGACGGUACCUGACUAAGAAGCCCCGGCUAACUACGUGCCAGCAGCCGCGGUAAUACGUAGGGGGCAAGCGUUAUCCGGAUUUACUGGGUGUAAAGGGAGCGUAGACGGUGUGGCAAGUCUGAUGUGAAAGGCAUGGGCUCAACCUGUGGACUGCAUUGGAAACUGUCAUACUUGAGUGCCGGAGGGGUAAGCGGAAUUCCUAGUGUAGCGGUGAAAUGCGUAGAUAUUAGGAGGAACACCAGUGGCGAAGGCGGCUUACUGGACGGUAACUGACGUUGAGGCUCGAAAGCGUGGGGAGCAAACAGGAUUAGAUACCCUGAUAGUCCACGCCGUAAACGAUGACUGCUAGGUGUCGGGUGGCAAAGCCAUUCGGUGC